Molecule: unclassified non-coding RNA, 301 nt
Organism: Callithrix jacchus (white-tufted-ear marmoset)
Lineage: Eukaryota; Metazoa; Chordata; Mammalia; Primates; Cebidae
Rfam family: Metazoan signal recognition particle RNA
About the family: The signal recognition particle (SRP) is a universally conserved ribonucleoprotein.
Source: Ensembl
GCCGGGAGCAGUGGCACGUGCCUGUAUAAUCCCAGCUACUCGGGAGGCUGAAGUGGGAGGAUCACUUGAGCCCAGGAGUUCCGGGCUGUAGUGUGCUAUGCCAGUUGGGUGCUCACACUAAGUUCGGUAUCAAUAUGGUGACCUCCCGGGAAGUGGGGGACCACCAGGUUGCCUAAGGAGGGGUGAACCGGCCCAGGUCAGAAACGGAGUAGGUCAAAACUCCCAUGAUGAUCAAUAGUGGGAUCACGCCUGUGAAUAGCCACUGCACUCCAGCCUGGGCAACACAGCAAGACCCCUUCUA